CACCAAAAUAAAACAAUUCCCAGGACAGUUUUUUCCCAAUUUUUCCUCAGGAUUUAUUCCCUGAGGAUGGAAUAACCUGAGGAAUUUACAGCAGGAGUUUCCAUGGUAUCAAAAAGCAAAAUUCCAGGGGAAAAUGGGGAAGCAGGGAUUGGUUUUGGGGAAUUAAUUAGGAAUUUUGGGGAAUUAUUAGGAAUUUUCAUGCUGGGAAUUGCAGCAGGACAAAGGGACCCUGGGGUGGUGCCACCUCAUACCCAGAAAUUUUGGGAUGGUGCCACCUCAAAUCCUGAGAUUUUGGGAUGGUGCCACCUCGGAUCCUGAGGUUCCAGGGUGGUGCCACCUCAGAAUGUGACACCCCAGGGUGGUGCCACCUUGGAUCCACAGAUUUUGGGAUGGUGCCACCUCAGAUCCAGAGGUUCCAGGGCAAUGUCACUUUGGAUCCAGAGGUCCCAGGGUGGCUCCAAUGGCACCCAGAGGUCCCAGGGUGGUUCCAAUGGCACCCAGAGGUCCCAGGGUGGCUCCAAUGGCACCCAGAGGUCCCAGGGUGGCUCCAAUGGCACCCAGAGGCCCCAGGGUGGCUCCCCUGGCACCCCGAGGUGCCAGCAGACACCCCCCGAUGACAAACCCACCUUGGAGGCGCCGAGCACGAAGGUGUGCGCCACGUUGGCGAUGAACCCGUCCACGUGCACGCCCAGGUCGCUGCAAACAGAGGGGGGAAAUGGGAAUUCCAGCAAUUCCAGACAUUCCAGGAAUUCCAGAAAUUCCAGAAAUCCCAGCAAUUCCAUCAAUUCCAGGAAUUCCAGCAAUUCCAGACAUUCCAGCAAUUCCAGCCAUUCCAGGAAUUCCAGCAAUUCCAGAAAUCCCAGAAAUUCCAGCCAUUCCAGCAAUUCCAGACAUUCCAGCAAUUCUAGGAAUUCCAGACAUUCCAGAAAUCCCAGGAAUUCCAGCAAUUCCAGCCAUCCCAGGAAUUCCAGCAAUCCCAGGAAUCCCAGGAAUUCCAGGAAUUCCAGGAAUUCCAUCAAUUCCAACCAUUCCAGACAUUCCAGCAAUUCCAGACAUUCCAGCAAUUCCAGAAAUUCCAGCCAUUCCAGCAAUUCUAGGAAUUCCAGACAUUCCAGCAAUUCCAGGAAUUCCAGAAAUUCCAUCAAUUCCAACCAUUCCAGCAAUUCCAGACAUUCCAGCAAUUCCAAAAAUCCCAGCAAUUCCAGCAAUUCCAGAAAUCCCAGCAAUUCCAGCCAUUCCAGGAAUUCCAGAAAUUCCAGGAAUUCCAGCCAGACCCCAGCACACCCAGUGCUGCCCCAGGAGCCCCUCCAGGCUCAUUAUUAGGCUGUAAUUAACAACCAAUUAACGCUGCAUUAAAAACGCGGGGUGGGGUGACAGGUUCUUGCAAUCUGGAUAAUUUUGGGGUUUAAUUGGGGGGAAUUUGGGAUUUUCCUGGCACUCACAUUUUGACCAAAUCCCCGUCCUUGAGGAUGUAAUCCUGGUCGCUCUUGAGCGGGGAGAAGUGACACACACAGUUAUUGACGGAUAUACUGGUGG
Molecule: long non-coding RNA, 1536 nt
Filed under: Junco hyemalis (dark-eyed junco)
Lineage: Eukaryota; Metazoa; Chordata; Aves; Passeriformes; Passerellidae
Description: lncRNA (ENSJHYG00000011160.1)
Source: RNAcentral